GACGAACGCUGGCGGCGUGCUUAACACAUGCAAGUCGAACGGAAAGGCCCUGCUUUUGUGGGGUGCUCGAGUGGCGAACGGGUGAGUAACACGUGAGUAACCUGCCCUUGACUUUGGGAUAACUUCAGGAAACUGGGGCUAAUACCGGAUAGGAGCUCCUGCUGCAUGGUGGGGGUUGGAAAGUUUCGGCGGUUGGGGAUGUACUCGCGGCUUAUCAGCUUGUUGGUGGGGUAGUGGCUUACCAAGGCUUUGACGGGUAGCCGGCCUGAGAGUGUGACCGGCCACAUUGGGACUGAGAUACGACCCAGACUCCUACGGGAGGCAGCAGUGGGGAAUAUUGCACAAUGGGCGGAAGCCUGAUGCAGCAACUCCGCGUGCUGGAUGACGGCCUUCGGGUUGUAAACCGCUUUCGCCUGUGACGAAGCGUGAGUGACGGUAAUGGGUAAAGAAGCACCGGCUAACUACGUG
RNAcentral lists this ribosomal RNA (468 nucleotides) under uncultured bacterium. RNAcentral's name for it is "partial 16S ribosomal RNA". It matches the Rfam family "Bacterial small subunit ribosomal RNA", at positions 28 to 507 of the family's 1533-position model. The record is from RNAcentral.